This is a long non-coding RNA of Branchiostoma floridae (Florida lancelet), 1841 nucleotides long. RefSeq lists it as uncharacterized. The record is from RefSeq and is a predicted model, not a curated record. The transcript has 2 exons. Lineage: Eukaryota; Metazoa; Chordata; Leptocardii; Amphioxiformes; Branchiostomatidae.
UUCCACUGGCUAAAUACCUUCCCUCUUUAUUAGAAUAUAGUACUUAAUGUAGUACAUAGACAUAGUCAUCUAUACAAUCAAAUCAAAUUAGUUUUAUCAUACUAAAGUUAAGGAAUUAUGAUCCAAUGAUAUGAAUUAAUAUAGGUGUCAGUACCAAUGUUUGCACUGUUACAGUACAUGUAACGUGACUGUAUGCAUUUUUGCUAAUUACCACUCAAUCCAAACCAUUUGGAAAUGUAUACUUUUAUUUUUGCACUGAGUUCAUACAUUGUCUUGAGAUACGUUUGAACGAAAAUCUCACUUACAAAUGUGUGCAUCCAAUGUGUAAGACAUAACUUACAUCUAAUAUUUUAAGUCCAUCUAUUUUCUUAUAGUUAAGACUGGCUAUAACAUAUUCUGUACAUAACUACAUUGUUCUAAAUGAUUACUGCAAGAAAGCAUCUGAAAACUGGCAGAGGCAUUAAUAUCUUGUAUUCCAAAUAAUGCCUAGGAAAAAAAACCUACCAACCCUGGCCUUUUUAGUCAGCCAAGGGCAAAGGGCAUACACAUCUUUCGCUCUAACAUCUACAUGUAGGUAAUGAAACUCAAAAUUGACUUCCUGUAUCUCACACUCAAUUUAAUGUUUUGAACAGUUGACAUAAGAAUAUGUAGUAUGCUUGUGCUUGCAUUUGCUCAAUGUAUUCUGUGAUACAAAAUCAUGUUGAAAAUAACAGAAUUUAGUUUUACACUGUUAAACCUGUAUUUGUUGGGUCACUUCUGCCGAGAUCUAAAAAAAAAAUAACCGUAACCGGCAGAGUGGUGUUCAUCAGCCAACCGGGUUGCACCACGUGACACAUUAGUUUGGUGAGCACUACCGGUUACAUCUGGUACUGAAUCAGUAGAAUCUGGUGUUGAAGGUAGGAUGGAGGGAUGUGCCAUGUAAAAUCUGUCUUAGUCUACAUCACAUCUGAUGUAGGGUCUGUAGAAUCUGGUGUUGAAGGUAGGAUGGAGGGAUGUGCCAUGUAAAAUCUGUCUUAGUCUACAUCACAUCUGAUGUAGGGUCUGUAGAAUCUGGUGUUGAAGGUGGGCAUGUCUCUCCAAUUGACUGUUCGGUCUGCAAAAAAUAACAGUUGCAUCAAAUCUAUUAUCAGAUUCAUAAAAAAAAUAAAUGUAAUAGAAUUAAAGCUAGAAAGAAAACAUUUUCAAUGGUUUCCUUCCAGCAAUUUGCCUUUAGUCAAACUAUUUGCACACAAUACUACACCUGCAGACUUGGCCCUGAGGCGUCAAAGAAGAACACACCAGCAAAAACAACAUAUUUCCAACAGGAAACAUAAAAACACCUAUAAAAAUGAAGCACUGCUUGCUAUCAGAUACUAAUGUCCUUGUAGACGUCUCAGUGUUGGCAAUCCUUGUACAGGGCUGACAUUAAUGCAUAAGAUCGUGUCACACAACAGAAAAUAUAAAAUAGCCAACUCUAUUUACAUGCCACAAAGACAGCUGCCUUCUUGACCCUGGCAAAGCUUCUAGCGAUUGGUCCAAUAUGACGGGGUAGAUUUUCAAGCAAAAAAAAAAUUCAUGACUCUCUUAGUAAUUCUCAGAUUUGGUGAUCUUCUGCUAAUCAACAAAUUUGGCUGGAGGUCAAAGUGCAACUCCCAUCCGGAAAUCACAGCGAGAUUUUGAGGUGUCCUCAAAGCGGGGUGUGGUGUCGUGGUGGUGUAAUGGUUGCGGUGUUUGGCCCAGAACCGUGCGCUAGACAUGAUGGAUAACAACCCACUACCACUACAGUCUCAAAAAGGCUAUGUGUUUACCUUUUUACAAAGGCUGGUAGGAUGUGUCAAUACCAAUUGGUAUAAAAAAUUGAC